UACAGAGGAGCCAAGCGUUGUCCGGAUUGACUGGGCGUAAAGCGCACGCAGGCGGUCGCGCGCGUGGGGUGUGAAAUCUGGCCGCUUAACGGCCAGGCGCCAUCCCAUACGGCGCAACUGGAGCCUUGCAGAGGUCGGUGGAAUUGCCGGUGUAGUGGUGAAAUGCGUAGAGAUCUGGAGGAACACCGAUGGCGAAGGCAGCCUUCUGGGCCAACACUGACGCUCAUGCACGAAAGCGUGGGGAGCAAACAGG
Molecule: ribosomal RNA, 253 nt
Filed under: uncultured prokaryote
Description: partial 16S ribosomal RNA
Rfam family: Bacterial small subunit ribosomal RNA
Source: RNAcentral